RNAcentral lists this ribosomal RNA (254 nucleotides) under uncultured bacterium. Its description in RNAcentral is "partial 16S ribosomal RNA". It matches the Rfam family "Bacterial small subunit ribosomal RNA", at positions 524 to 776 of the family's 1533-position model. The record is from RNAcentral.
UACGGAGGGGGCAAGCGUUGUCCGGAUUUACUGGGCGUAAAGGGCGCGUAGGCGGCCUCCGCAGGUCAAUUGUGAAAUCUCCGAGCUUAACUCGGAAAGGUCAACUGAUACUGCGGGGCUAGAGUGCGGAAGGGGCAACUGGAAUUCUUGGUGUAGCGGUGAAAUGCGUAGAUAUCAAGAGGAACACCUGCGGCGAAGGCGGGUUGCUGGGCCGACACUGACGCUGAGGCGCGAAAGCUAGGGGAGCGAACGGG